AACGAACGCUGGCGGCAUGCCUAGCACAUGCAAGUCGAACGAGACCUUCGGGUCUAGUGGCGCACGGGUGCGUAACGCGUGGGAACCUGCCCUUAGGUUCGGAAUAACUCCCCGAAAGGGGUGCUAAUACCGGAUAAUGUCCUCGGACCAAAGAUUUAUCGCCUUUGGAUGGGCCCGCGUUGGUUUAGCUAGUUGGUAGGGUAAAAGCCUACCAAGGCGACGAUCCAUAGCUGGUCUGAGAGGAUGAUCAGCCACACUGGGACUGAGACACGGCCCAGACUCCUACGGGAGGCAGCAGUGGGGAAUAUUGGACAAUGGGCGAAAGCCUGAUCCAGCAAGGCCGCGUGAGUGAUGAAGGCCUUAGGGUUGUAAAGCUCUUUUACCCGGGAUGAUAAUGACAGUACCGGGAGAAUAAGCACCGGCUAACUCCGUG
RNAcentral lists this ribosomal RNA (433 nucleotides) under uncultured bacterium. RNAcentral's name for it is "partial 16S ribosomal RNA". It matches the Rfam family "Bacterial small subunit ribosomal RNA", at positions 29 to 507 of the family's 1533-position model. The record is from RNAcentral.